AUUGAACGCUAGCGGGAUGCCUUACACAUGCAAGUCGAACGAAGCGAUUGUGAUUGAGAUUUCGGUUGAUUGAUCAAUUGACUUAGUGGCGGACGGGUGAGUAACGCGUGGGUAACCUGCCUCGUACAGGGGGAUAACAGUUAGAAAUGACUGCUAAUACCGCAUAACCCGCUAGGGCCGCAUGGCCCGGACGGAAAAGAUUUAUCGGUACGAGAUGGACCCGCGUCUGAUUAGCUAGUUGGUGAGGUAACGGCCCACAAGGCGACGAUCAGUAGCCGGCCUGAGAGGGUGACCGGCCACAUUGGGACUGAGACACGGCCCAA
Molecule: ribosomal RNA, 323 nt
Filed under: uncultured bacterium
Lineage: Bacteria
Description: bacterial SSU rRNA
Rfam family: Bacterial small subunit ribosomal RNA
Source: RNAcentral